UUAAAUAAAAAUAAGGUGAAGUUUGAAUCCUCGUUUUAAAUGAUUUUAAUUUUACGAAUAUUAUGUUCCAACUCAAAAAAGAAUAUUGCACAAUGUUUUUAUAUCACAAUUGUUCUUUUUCUCACUCUCUAGUGAGACUUGGAUAAACAUGGUUGACUUUGGAAAUAACACAAAGAGAACACCUUAGUUGGCUAAAUAAUUUCAAUAAUCUUUGAAGAACUGAAAGCAAGAUAUUACAUUCAUAUAAAAGACAAGUAGAUACCCAUAAAUUCACUUGGCUGUAGUGAAAAAUAACAAACUUCUCAUGUACCUAAUAAAACUUAAAGGAGACAAAAUUGAUAAUGCUGUGAAAAUAUAAUGUAACACCAAAAUUUUUCAAUGCACUUUUUUGCUUUCGUAAAUCCAUUAAUUAAACUGCAAGACUUGUAAGAAUAUCUGAUCACAAUGUAAGCCUCUUAUAAUGGAGAGGCUGACAUCUGAUAUUUUUUAAACAAAAUCUAAAUAAAUACAAUCUGCACUGGUAAAAAUAACAAAAUCUGUGAAUGGUAAGGCAAAAUUACCUAAACGAUAUAAAUGAAAAAACAACACCAAAAAAUAAACGUAUUAUGUGAUGGCACCUAUAAACAUUUCUAUUCAAAUUUAUUAAUCUAUAACAUUUUCCCUAUGUAUCAUAUGUUUCCCUAUGUUAUCAUAUAGUUAUGGAGUAAAUGUUGACAAUGUAAGACAAUAAAAUAUUAGUGGUCACUAAACAAAGUUAAUUCCAGGAAAAUUUCCUAAUUUUUAUGAAUUUAUUACAAUAAUUUUUAUUGUUUUCCUCUUUGCCUUCUAAUUAGUAUUUUUAGCAGGAGCUUAGCACUGGAGUCCAAGGGGGGUUGUAUGCCUCAGGUGCCAGUUGUGGGAUUUUUUUAACUUCCAUUUUGCAUUGUUGUUAUUUUAGAAUUGUUCCUCAUCAGAUUCAUAACACACCCAACUUUUGCUGUUUUUUAUUCACUUCCAGGAAAAUUCAACCACAGCAAAAAGAGAAAGAACAAAAUAUUGUCUGAAAUUGUCAAAAUAUUGACAAAAUAUUGUCUGAUAUUAUCAAAAUAUUGUCUGUCAUUUUGUCUGAUCCAACAUUUACUCUUGCUCUACCACUGGUUUUUAGAACCUGUGAAUUAUUUCAAUAGCGCUAGUGUCUUUUUUAAUGCUUAAGCUAGGUAUUCCACAUCAUGAAUUUUUUUUUUUAUGGUUGUCCUAAGAGACAAUUAAUUCUUCACAUUUUGUGAACAUUCUAGGCAUCUAUCAUCUGGAAAAUUUAUCCACUGUCUGCAGAAGAUACCUCAAAAAAUCUCUACAGAAGAUACCUCAAAAAAUGCUCUUAUCAAAAAAAAAAGGGUAAAAUAAUGGGUAGUUCAAUUGUUGCACUUUAAACUGGAAUCAUUUCAGAAAAUACAAUUCUUCCAUUCAAAACUGAUUAUCUUUCAUAUUGAUGAUUGGAGAUUUACUUACAAUGAAAGAUAUAGAAAUUAUGUGAGUCUAGGAUGGUUCCAGGGUUGCACGUGGAGGCAAUUUUUUUCAACUGGAUGUGGAUAUUGGGAUAAGACUAUUUAUGAUCUUAUUUGUUUAUUCAUUAGAUAAGGAUACAACUAGUUGGUGUUUUCACUUUUCUGUUAAUUUUUAAUAUUUUUUUGUUUCAGAACAAUUUUUUUUAUUAAUUUUUAUUAGUUUUACUCAUCUGUCACUCAGAUUCCAUUUAGGUUUGCAUAGAGGACUUAAUCACAGCAUGAGCAGAAAAGGUCUCAGCAUCCAUCUAAGUGACUCUGAUCGCACCACCAUACUUUGCAUCGCAAGUACCAAAUUUUAUUAUAAAGUCAAGAGAAAUUAAAACUUCAGAUCCAAGUGAAUUACUUGUAAUAUUUUAAAUUCCAGAGGUAAAGUCUCAUUCUCUAGCCUUUUAACUGUUAGCUUAAUAAAAUUCCCACAAGUUGAGAAAAAGUUAUUGCUUCAAAUGCUAAUUUGUGAUACAUCAGAAUAUUUUGCCAUCAGAAGUAUAACCAUGGGCAAAUAUGUAACUUAACUGUGUGUCAAAAAAAGAUAACAAUACAAGAUAAAACCCUUUUCUAAUUGAAAAUGCCUUUACAGUUCAGAAACAUUUUCAGAAAACAAAAUUCCUAGCAACAGUUUUUAAAAUCUUCACACAUACACACUCUAGUUUGCUUAAUCGUUAAUCAAAAGCUCCGAAGGAUAUGUGAUACUUUCACAAUCAUUCAAGCUAGGACAAGCCUACCAUAGCAUUUCUUUUACUUACAAAAAUCAAACUAAUUUUACAUAAAAUAUAAUUUAAUUUAUAAUAUCUACAAAUAUGAUUGCUAAUUCCACAAAGUAUACCUUAAAACCUUCCAAAGGUACCUAGGGGGAAGAAGUCAAAUUAAUUUUUCUAUUCCAGGGACUCAUUGUGGACUCACCUCUAUGGGCUUAUAACCUGGAUACAACCUGUCAACCAGAGAAAUGAGCCAACAGUGUUGUUUGCAUGGUUUUUAGGUAUUCAUGUGACACUGGGAAGCAUUCUUUCUUUAAUCUCAGUAGAGUUACAUGAUAUAUGAUUUCUACAUUCAGAAACUAGUAUGUCAAUUCUUCAUUUACCUUUAAAGUUAUCUUUUUAAACACCUUAUUGAAAACAUAUCCACGUUAGCAAAGUCUUUUUUUAAAAACCUGUGUUAUUAGGUUUUCAAGUAGACUUUAGAUGCACAUUUUUCCAUAAACCUAAAUUCGACAGCAGCUCUGACACUGAGAUUUGAGUAAAGCACAUUGUGCUUUUAUCUUUAAAGAAUAUAUUCUGCAACCUAUAUGCAGUUAUGAAAAAAUAUCUAAAUCCUACCUAUCAAGAAAAAAAAUGUUAUCUAUCAUGAGAUUUCUCUUACCAUUUUUUUAAAAGAUGCAGAUAUUACCUAGGUCAUUUUUUAUUUUUCGGGCUUUCAUUUGGGCAGACUGUGAGAAAUAUCUUGAUAUCACAGUCCUUAAUAUAAGUCUUGUAUAUAUAAGCAAAUAAUGAAAACAGAAAUAUAAUUGAACUGUCAGUCAAAGCAAUUCCCAUAACGCUUACUGGUUAAACUUACAUAUCUCCUUUUAUUAAUUUGUUCCGUAUGAAAUUCAAUUCAUCCAGGGGUUUUGGCACAGAACACUAGAAAGAGCAACUUUUAAAACUGGCUCUAGGUAUUUAAAAUUAAACUCUUAAAUCAGCG
This 3221-nucleotide long non-coding RNA is filed under the name Lynx canadensis (Canada lynx). RNAcentral's name for it is "lncRNA (ENSLCNG00005011085.1)". Lineage: Eukaryota; Metazoa; Chordata; Mammalia; Carnivora; Felidae. The record is from RNAcentral.